This 2110-nucleotide ribosomal RNA is filed under the name Limnohabitans sp. CEP5. Its description in RNAcentral is "bacterial LSU rRNA". It matches the Rfam family "Bacterial large subunit ribosomal RNA", at positions 543 to 2656 of the family's 2925-position model. RNAcentral also lists the same sequence under 1 other name. The record is from RNAcentral. Lineage: Bacteria; Pseudomonadati; Pseudomonadota; Betaproteobacteria; Burkholderiales; Comamonadaceae.
AUAGAUCCUGAAACCGCAUGCUUACAAAAAGUAGGAGCCUCGAAAGGGGUGACUGCGUACCUUUUGUAUAAUGGGUCAGCGACUUACAUUCAGUGGCAAGGUUAACCGAAUAGGGAAGCCGUAGAGAAAUCGAGUCCGAAUAGGGCGAUCAGUCGCUGGGUGUAGACCCGAAACCAAGUGAUCUAUCCAUGGGCAGGAUGAAGGUGCCGUAACAGGUACUGGAGGUCCGAACCGACUAAUGUUGCAAAAUUAGCGGAUGACCUGUGGAUAGGGGUGAAAGGCUAAACAAACUUGGAAAUAGCUGGUUCUCUCCGAAAACUAUUUAGGUAGUGCCUCAAGUAUUACCAUCGGGGGUAGAGCACUGUUUUGGCUAGGGGGUCAUGGCGACUUACCAAACCAAGGCAAACUCCGAAUACCGAUGAGUACAGCUUGGGAGACAGAGCACCGGGUGCUAACGUCCGGACUCAAGAGGGAAACAACCCAGACCGCCAGCUAAGGUCCCUAAAAUUGGCUAAGUGGGAAACGAAGUGGGAAGGCUAAAACAGUCAGGAUGUUGGCUUAGAAGCAGCCAUCAUUUAAAGAAAGCGUAAUAGCUCACUGAUCGAGUCGUCCUGCGCGGAAGAUGUAACGGGGCUAAGCCAGUUACCGAAGCUGCGGAUUUGCAAUUUAUUGCAAGUGGUAGGAGAGCGUUCUGUAGGCCUGUGAAGGUGGUGGUGUAAACCCUGCUGGAGGUAUCAGAAGUGCGAAUGCUGACAUGAGUAGCGUUAAAGGGGGUGAAAAGCCCCCUCGCCGUAAGCGCAAGGUUUUCUACGCAACGUUCAUCGGCGUAGAGUGAGUCGGCCCCUAAGGCGAGGCAGAGAUGCGUAGCUGAUGGGAAACAGGUCAAUAUUCCUGUACCGAUGACAAGUGCGAUGUGGGGACGGAGAAGGUUAGCUCAGCCAACUGUUGGAUAUGUUGGUUCAAGCCUGUAGUCGUGCUCGGUAGGCAAAUCCGCCGGGCUUAGAUGAGGGGUGAUAACGAGUGUGCUUGCACACGAAGUGAGUGAUACCCUGCUUCCAGGAAAAGCCACUAAGCUUCAGCUUGUCAUUGACCGUACCGCAAACCGACACUGGUGCGCGAGAUGAGUAUUCUAAGGCGCUUGAGAGAACUCAGGAGAAGGAACUCGGCAAAUUGAUACCGUAACUUCGGGAGAAGGUAUGCCCCUAUUAGGUGAACUUGAACAAAGGGAGCCGAACGGGGUUGCAAAAAAUCGGUGGCUGCGACUGUUUAAUAAAAACACAGCACUCUGCAAACACGAAAGUGGACGUAUAGGGUGUGACGCCUGCCCGGUGCUGGAAGAUUAAAUGAUGGGGUGCAAGCUCUUGAUUGAAGUCCCAGUAAACGGCGGCCGUAACUAUAACGGUCCUAAGGUAGCGAAAUUCCUUGUCGGGUAAGUUCCGACCUGCACGAAUGGCGUAACGAUGGCCACACUGUCUCCUCCUGAGACUCAGCGAAGUUGAAAUGUUUGUGAUGAUGCAAUCUCCCCGCGGAAAGACGGAAAGACCCCAUGAACCUUUACUGUAGCUUUGUAUUGGACUUUGAACAGAUCUGUGUAGGAUAGGUGGGAGGCUUUGAAGCCGGGACGCUAGUCUCGGUGGAGCCAACGUUGAAAUACCACCCUGGUGUGUUUGAGGUUCUAACCUAGGUCCAUUAUCUGGAUCGGGGACAGUGCAUGGUAGGCAGUUUGACUGGGGCGGUCUCCUCCCAAAGCGUAACGGAGGAGUUCGAAGGUACGCUAGUUACGGUCGGACAUCGUGAUAAUAGUGCAAUGGCAUAAGCGUGCUUAACUGCGAGACUGACAAGUCGAGCAGAUACGAAAGUAGGACAUAGUGAUCCGGUGGUUCUGUAUGGAAGGGCCAUCGCUCAACGGAUAAAAGGUACUCUGGGGAUAACAGGCUGAUACCGCCCAAGAGUUCAUAUCGACGGCGGUGUUUGGCACCUCGAUGUCGGCUCAUCUCAUCCUGGGGCUGUAGCCGGUCCCAAGGGUAUGGCUGUUCGCCAUUUAAAGAGGUACGUGAGCUGGGUUUAAAACGUCGUGAGACAGUUUGGUCCCUAUCUUCCGUGGGCGCUG